CGGGGCGGGGGAGGUGCUGCCGCCGUUGUCGCUGCCGCCGCCGCCGCUGUUGCGCGACUGGCUCGCUGGCUCCGCCUUCCGCGGCGCUGCGCUCCCGCGGGCUUGAGGGGCAGGAGUUGCAUAUCCGAAAAGUGGAUGUUCAGGAUAACAUGUCCAAUGUGUCGGAAGAGAGAAGCACUAGACAACAGGACAUUAAGAAGGGACUCCAGUUUAUAGAAUCUACUUUGCCCUAUCCAGGGACGCAAGAACAAUAUGAGUUAUUUAUACGAGAGCUUGUCAGAAAUCUUUUUAAUGAGGGGAAUGAUGUAUAUCGAGAAGGUGAUUGGAGGGGAUCACUGAGUCACUAUACAGAAGCUAUAAACAUAGCUGAUUAUGCUAAUUCUGAAGAAAUCCAUGUUUCUGAUGAUAUUUUAGAGAAGCUGCACGUGAACAGGAUAGCAUGUUUUUCAAAUAUGGGAUUGCAUGAAAAAGUUCUAGAAGACUGUGAAAUAGCAUUAAGAUUGAAUGAAAACAAUUUCAGAGCUCUCUAUAGGAAAGCAAAAGCUUUGAAUGAACUGGGAAGGUACAAGAAGGCUUAUGAUGCUGUAGCAAAAUGUUCUCUUGCUGUGCCACAGGAUGAAAGUGUGAUUAAGCUUACCCAGGAACUAGCUCAAAAACUAGGGUUAAAAAUAAGGAAAGCAUAUGUAAGAGCAAAGCCACCCUCCUCCAAUUCAGUUUCUAGCGACGUAUCAACUCAGAAUUCUUCUUCUGUAGAAGAUAUUGAGUUAGAUUUAUCUGACCAGAAGCAAGAGAUGGUUUCUGCUGCUUCUUCAACAAAUUUUGAAGUGUCUAAAGUGUCAUCAGUACCUGUACCAUCUUUAUCUUCUAUUAUGCCUCUUCAAGUGGAAAAGGUUUCUUUGCCAUCUGCAGUGUUGGCAAAUGGAGGGAAUGUUUCUUUCUCUAUGCCAGAAGCAUGUUUAGAUUGUGGAGAUGGAGAUAUAAUUAUUGGGGAAGAACUUGAUGAAUUACUUGAUUCUGUGCCUGAUCCAGAUGAAAGUGUAAUGCAAACUGCAGGAGUCAGAGGACCGAUUCCCACAGGGAGCAUGGCUCCUACUGUACCUUUCUCUGCCUCCUUGUUAGGGACGCUACCAGUUAGUGCAGGAUUUGUUCCUUCACCUUCCCUUUCAGAAAUCUUUUCACAGCCUUUGGCUUCUUCACUGGAAAAUUUUUGCUCACCAUUAAGCACCUUUUCAAUCAGUGACCCAAAAAGAGACCUCUCAAGUUCAGCUUCUAGAGAUGGAACACCAACACUUAGCAGCAAUAAUUCCCCAUUGUUUAUAAAUGGCCCUAGUAGUUUGUUUGGGUCUGAAAAUUACAUGGGAAUUACAGGCCAAACUAGAAAUGACUUUUCAAAUGUUUUUAGCAGUGCAACUGCUAAUAUACCUGUAUCUUCAGCACUUGCGGGAAGAAACCCACUAGAAGGCACACAUGAGCUAAGACAGGCCUGCCAGUUAUGUUUUGUCAAAAAAGGUCCUAAAUUAUUGGAUUACACUUACCAUCCCAGUUUAGAACAUAAAUGUAAGAAAGAUAUUCUAAUUGGCAGAAUAAAAAACUCUGAAGAUAAAUCAUGGAAAAAAAUACGUCCCAGACCAACAAAGACACAGUAUGUGGGACCAUAUUAUAUAUGUAAAGAUGUUGCUGCUGAAGAGGAAUGCAGAUAUCCAGGUCAUUGCACGUUUGCGUAUUGCCAAGAGGAGAUCGAUGUGUGGACGCUGGAGCGCAAAGGAGCCUUCAGUCGAGAGGCUCUUUUUGGGGGAAAUGGAAAGAUCAACUUGACUGUGUCCCGACUUCUUCAAGAACAUCAUGGAUUAUUUAUGUUUCUUUGUGAGAAAUGUUUUGAUCACAAACCGAGAAUAAUAAGCAAAAGGAACAAGGAUAACUCAUCUUCUUGUUCUCACCCUGCUAUGCAUGACUUUGAAGAUAACAAGUGCCUUGUCCACAGUCUGCGUGAAACUAUGGUGAAAUAUUCCAAAAUCCGUCCUUUUCAAGUUCGAUGUCAGCUUGACCUGUGCAGACAUGAGGUGCAUUAUGGCUGCUUACGAGAGGAUAAAUGCUUUUAUGCUCACAGCCUGGUAGAGCUUAAAGUCUGGAUAAUGCAAAAGGAAACAGGUAUUUCACAUGAUGCUAUUGUUCAAGAAUCAAAGAAGUACUGGCAGAACAUGGAAGCUAGUGCACAUGGAUCACAGAUCCUUGGGAACCAAAUGAAAUAUGGAUCACUUAAUUUGAAAAUGAAAUUUGUUUGUGGUCAGUGCUGGAGAAAUGGUCAAGUUAAUGAGCCAGACAGAAACAAAAAGUACUGUAGUGCAAAGGCAAGACACCCAUGGACCAAAGAUCGCCGUGUGGUGCUAGUAAUGUCUAAUGAACGUAAAAAGUGGAUGACCAUUCGUCCUCUUCCGGCAAAGAAACAAGUGCCUCUGCAAUUUGAUUUGUGCAAUCAUAUUGCUUCGGGCAAGAAAUGUCAGUAUGAUGGAAACUGCUCAUUUGCUCACAGUCCUGAGGAGAGAGAGAUGUGGACCUAUAUGAAGGAGAACAGCACUUCUGCUCUCAUUAGUUCAAGACUUGGAGCAGUUGUAUGACAUAUGGCUAAAAAGUCAAAAACCAGAAAAGGGAGAUGAUACAGCUGCUCAGGCAAACAAAGAGAAUGGGAAGCAAAUUCACAUGCCGACUGACUAUGCUGAAGUUACAGUGGAUUUUCACUGUUGGAUGUGUGGGAAGAACUGUAAUAGUGAGAAGCAAUGGCAGGGUCACAUUUCUUCUGAAAAGCAUAAAGAGAAGGUUUUCCACACCGAGGACGAUCAAAACUGCUGGCAGUAUCGCUUUCCAACCGGAAAUUUUAGCAUUUGUGAUAGAUAUAUGGCUGGUACUUGUACUGAAGGAAACAACUGUAAAUUUGCCCAUGGAAAUGCUGAACUCCAUGAAUGGGAAGAACGAAGACAAGUUUUAAGAAUGAAGCUCAGCAAAGCAAGGAAAGAUCACUUGAUUGCUCCCAGUGAUAAUGACUUUGGAAAAUAUAGUUUUUUGUUUAAAGAUUUAAACUAAUACUGAGAUGACACAUACAUGUUAUCAGCUGGAAGCAUAAACCAGAAAAUUUGACAAUAAUCAAAAGCAUGUGACAGAAAAGCUGCAGGUUUUCUGCUUUUAUUGGCAUAUAUUGUUCCUCCUGAACAGCAAAAUAUAGUAGAUUUAGGGGGAUUGAGCAGACCUGUCUGUGCUCUCAUGAAACAGAGUGGUGAUUAAAAAAAUCUGAAGUAUUACGCGCUUACUCACCUUCUGUUGGACAGAAAGUUAGGAAAUAGAAGGGGGGGGAAGAGAGGUCAUAAUCUAGGAAGCCCCCUAGUAUCAGUCCUUCAGUUGAAAAACUUUAAGGUAUCAAGGUAUUGCAAAACUGUGUGUUAUGGACUAAGAAGAAAAUGAUGGAUCAAAAUUCUUCAGAUCUUUUAAUGGAGAGGAUUUGUUUAAAACAAAGUUUGCUACUUAUCUAUAUGUAGGUUGCUAAAAAGGAUUUUUCUUAUUAAAGAUUUUAAACAAAAUAACCAUUUAACUACAGUAUAUGUUGAAUGGGUAUUUUUUCUCUAUUUGUAUGUUUCAAUAUAAUUUACUGAAAAAGGAUCUUGGGAAGAAAAAAAACGAAGUAGUUAAAAUUCUGUUUAUUGGUCUUUGCUGUUUAAAUGAUGAUUUUGAAAGAUUACACUUGUAUGUCAGUAUUGUGUACUAUUGUAUGGACUAAUGUUGCCUGUAAUAAAGAGAACUUUACACAAAGCUGUUUUCUGCAUGUAGCCUCUCAGGAUUGAGAUUUUGUAAAAACAAACUAACAAUUAUUUCAUUAUUAGCAAAAGCUUGAGCACCUGUAGCUAAAAAUUUACUGAGUUGGUGUUUGUGUUUCCAGCUUCUUGUUUGCAGUUUUCUGUACUGUCAUUAGCUCAUUGCAUCAGUAAAGUAACAAGAAUGGCCAACUCACUUGUGGAGACACAAUUUUGGAGCUAUGUGGUGCUGGGACAUGUUUUCAGCCUUUUGACGUGGGCAUGAAGCACCCCCACCUCAGCUGCAAAGUGAAUGGGACGUUAGAUGGCAUUUCCUGCAACCCAUAGGAAAGGAAAAACCAUGCAUGGGCUGAGGUGCUUUCCGCCUGACAAGCCUUUUGGCUUUACAGUAGCCAGAGCUUUUGUUGUGUUUUGGCUUCUCUGCAGAUUGUGCUUUCAGCUUGCUUUGUGUGAUGACUUCAUGCCCUUUUUAAUUUCCUUUUUCCCCUAAACCAAGCUUUAUUUAGUCAUUCAAAAUAGCUGAAGCUAGUUUUCUUCUUUUCCACAUACUUCUCCCUCUUAAUAGUACUUUUUCUGUUAAUGGCUGACCUUAUAUAAUUAGAAGAGCUUUAAGAAUGACUUCAGUAGUUUGAAUGUAGUCAAUGGCCACGUAUUGUGUAUGUAAAAAGUGUUGAACCAAAGUUCAGUGAUACUCAUGCAGAGAAUGAGCCUGGAGGCCGUGUCCCAUUCACUUCACAAAAUAAAAGCACAACAGUUACGGGAACACCACCUUAUGCUUCAGCCAGAGCAAGGGGGAUGUGGAAGAAAUUGUUCCGUCCCGGCAAGGCUGAAGGCCAUUUGACUAUGAUGUACAGUGUGCAUACAGGAGUAGCUUGGUGCUUGACAUACCACCUGCUGCAGUGCUAGUUUUUUACAUUGUUUGUAAUGAACUGAGCUUGAAAUAGAGUAUUAUGGACAGUUAUUUCUGUGACAAAACCUGAUUGUAUCGUGUGCCUUUCCGAAUUGUUUUCUCAAUUUUAUGCUUUCACUGUUUAAUGUAAGUGCUCUGUAAAUUACUGGAAGUAAUUCUAGAGAAAACUAAACAUGAAAUCCUUGUUCCAUA
Strigops habroptila (Kakapo) is the source of this 4902-nucleotide RNA transcript. It is a transcript of the gene named zinc finger CCCH-type containing 7A, with no coding region annotated. The transcript has 23 exons. Lineage: Eukaryota; Metazoa; Chordata; Aves; Psittaciformes; Psittacidae. The record is from RefSeq and is a predicted model, not a curated record.